CUGUAUAGUGAUAAAGGGUACCCGUUAAAGAGGCAACUAAUAACCGUUUUCUAAUGUACAUUUAACAGAACAGCAUCAGGGAUUUAAUAAACAAAUGUCAAAACUCCGCCAAUGUGUAGAAUGGAGUUUCGGAAAAAUUAUCCAACAAUUUGCUUUCUCUUAUAGGUAUUAAAAAUGUUGUUGCUUAUUCCAUAGAUACGAGUAGAGGUAGUACAGCUUUAUUCUAUCAAGCAUUCAAAUAAAAACCUGGGCUCGGGAGACUAUGGAAUCUUCUUUUGUUUUUUAAUUUUCCAGCGUAGAAUUUUGACAGUCGUUGAGGCCACUGCCAUUACGAAAUGUCAGUAUUGUCAAACGAAAAUCUUUGAUUUCACUCAAAAACCUGCUAAGAGUUAAAUUAAGCUCCAUGCGCAGUGACCCAAGGCAGCCAAAACUUGAAAAAGUAGAAAGAAAAUUUGUCUUCAAAAUUUUGGUGCUUUCAUUUUGCUGUCACUUUUAGACCUUCGAUUCAAAUACACAGGCAUAUUGAUGAAUAAAUGAGUGGGCUUUCAAGUAAACCUGGCUAGAGUGAGUCAAAGGACAAACUAAGAGCAUGUUUGUUGUGGGGAAAAUG
Long non-coding RNA from Tribolium castaneum (red flour beetle), 610 nucleotides. RefSeq lists it as uncharacterized. The transcript has 2 exons. The record is from RefSeq and is a predicted model, not a curated record. NCBI's taxonomy places the organism in Eukaryota, Metazoa, Arthropoda, Insecta, Coleoptera, Tenebrionidae.